CGACCGCUGGCGGUGUGCUUACCACAUGCACGUCGAACGGUAAGGCCCUUUCGGGGGUCCACGAGUGGCGAACGGGUGAGUAACACGUGAGUAACCUGCCCUCAUCUCUGGGAUAACAGUCGGAAACGGUUGCUAAUACUGGAUAUGAGCUUGCAAGGCAUCUUGUGGGUUGGAAAGAUUUUUUUGGUUGGGGAUGGACUCGCGGCCUAUCAGCUUGUUGGUGAGGUAGUGGCUCACCAAGGCUUCGACGGGUAGCCGGCCUGAGAGGGCGACCGGCCACAUUGGGACUGAGAUACGGCCCAAACUCCUACGGGAGGCAGCAGUGGGGAAUAUUGCACAAUGGACGGAAGUCGGAUGCAGCAACGCCGCGUGCGGGAUGACGGCCUUCGGGUUGUAAACCGCUUUCAAUUGUGACGAAGCUUUUUGUGACGGUAGCAGUAGAAGAAGCACCGGCUAACUACGUG
This 464-nucleotide ribosomal RNA is filed under the name uncultured bacterium. RNAcentral describes it as "partial 16S ribosomal RNA". It matches the Rfam family "Bacterial small subunit ribosomal RNA", at positions 30 to 507 of the family's 1533-position model. The record is from RNAcentral.